ACCUUUUAAAAAUAUUGUCAUGAAUUGGUAGCCCUAGUUUUCAGAUGGGGACAAAAAAUGUUUAGAAUUCUAUGUGCAUGCAUUACUCAAGCUGCAGGAGUAUGUGGGAAGCAGAGCACUUCAAUUUCACCAAAACACCUCUUAUACUGGAGUGCUGGUUCUUCCUGGUUAGCACAGAGAGCUGAACUGUGUGUGCCAGGUGAUCUGCAGUGGAGAACAGCAUCAUUAUUAAAAGGCUUAGACAUUCCAUGCCAUUUGUGCUUCUGCGACAUAUGUAGUACAGUGCUCCUGUGUGACUGACAUGUGAAAUUCCAGAUCUGCCAACAAAUGAGGAACCUCACUGUGUAGCUGCAAUACGUGCACAGUAUUUAGUUUUAGACUCCUGAUUUGAAAGGCUAGAUGAGAUUACAGAGUUCUAAUUUGAAGGUAUUUACAAUUUUCUUACCCUUUUUCCUCUGGGCCGGAAUCGUAGUUUGUACCAUAUUUAAGAUUUUGAGGUUGAUUGCCAGCACUAGUGCGUCAUUUCAGUAGACCAGCCAAGUUGGUUCUGCCAGGACUUCUGAAGUGGCCUGCACAUCUGUUAGGAAGAAAGAAGAAGCUAUGGGCCACCAUCUGGUAUUUGAUGCCUUGCUGUCACAACAGAUUCAUUGAGG
RNAcentral lists this long non-coding RNA (653 nucleotides) under Cyanistes caeruleus (blue tit). RNAcentral's name for it is "lncRNA (ENSCCEG00000003469.1)". The record is from RNAcentral. Lineage: Eukaryota; Metazoa; Chordata; Aves; Passeriformes; Paridae.